UGCAGUAAGCCAACAUCCACAUGUAAAAAUCACUAUAUAAACUGGGAAUUAGGUUUAGAAACUUCUGACCCAAAAACAAGUAUAAAAUCCUGAAUCUUUCAGCAUAGGUAUUUUAACUGUGCCUCUUGGACAAUUACAGCGAGUCUUGCAAGAGUGAAAGCAAAACCUAAAAGGUUAUCAUCAUCCGGAAUAGGUAUAUAGACUGGUAAAGCAGACUGAUCAUUCUCUACACACUAUAUAUUCUUAAGUCUACAUUAAUUAACUGUUAGAGUCUUCAAUAUAAAUUGAUAUCAAGUGUAAUAUAAUAACCAAUAGUUUAAUUGUAUGAGAUGCCUUGAAAGUAAUGUAAUAAUUAUUCAUAAUGGUAAGUCCAAUGUCGAUUGGUUGCAAGAGUGAAAGCAAAACCUAAAAGGUUAUCAUCAUCCGGAAUAGGUAUAUAGACUGGUAAAGCAGACUGAUCAUUCUCUACACACUAUAUAUUCUUAAGUCUACAUUAAUUAACUGUUAGAGUCUUCAAUAUAAAUUGAUAUCAAGUGUAAUAUAAUAACCAAUAGUUUAAUUGUAUGAGAUGCCUUGAAAGUAAUGUAAUAAUUAUUCAUAAUGGUAAGUCCAAUGUCGAUUGUGUUAACUAUGACUCUAUGACACCACUGAAACAUAGAAGGUUGCCUUUCGAUCUUCCGAUUACUUUUCAACAAGUUAAAGGACUAAACCUGGAUAAUUGGUACAUAAAAUGACAAGGAUCAGAUAUUGGUUUACCA
RNAcentral lists this long non-coding RNA (758 nucleotides) under Panax ginseng (ginseng). RNAcentral describes it as "long non-coding RNA (PGIN_LNC011815)". The record is from RNAcentral. Lineage: Eukaryota; Viridiplantae; Streptophyta; Magnoliopsida; Apiales; Araliaceae.